RNAcentral lists this long non-coding RNA (1220 nucleotides) under Amborella trichopoda. RNAcentral describes it as "long non-coding RNA (ATRI_LNC001777)". Lineage: Eukaryota; Viridiplantae; Streptophyta; Magnoliopsida; Amborellales; Amborellaceae. The record is from RNAcentral.
UAUAAAUGGAUAUAUAUCUCUUAGGUGUCUCUUGAUUAUGAUAAGAUUAGUUAGUAGUUAUCCAUAACCAUUGAUAUUUAUCUUUAAAUGUGAAAGACUUUCUCUGCAACCCAAUUGUGCCAUUGCUUCCCUAACACCUCAGCAACCCGGUUGUUUCAUUGCUUCCCUAUUGUGCCAUUGAUUCCCUAGAUGUGUUCCCAACAAGCUCCCCACCGUGCCAUUGCUUCCCUACAAGCUCCCCAUCGUGCCACCUGUAACCCUCAUUUCGUUCUCAACAACCAACCCAAAAAAAAGCUUUCUCCACCUCCAAAACUGCCUUCUUGCCCGUGCAACAACCUUUCUGAAACCUAUUAGUCCUACUUUUGCACCCCCACCUUGCAGGACAAGGACUGUAGGUGUAGAUGCAACAAAUUUGGCAUGGAAUGACACCUUUUUUUUUUUUUGGUAGCAGAUUAAUACCGGAGGAGUUGUGAAUCUGGGCGCAGUGCCUACCUUGAUGUGCGUAAGAUUGAUCUGGAUUUGAAACUGCCUCUAAAUCCACCUCUAAAAAUGGCCUGUGGAAAUGGCCGAUGUGAACUAUCUGUCGAGUCGUUCCGUAGAGUCGUUCUUCGACUAUCCGUCGAGUCGUUCUUCGACUAUCCGUCGAGUCGUUCUUCGACUAUCCGUCGAAUCGUUCUUCGACUAUUAGUCGAGUCGUUCUUCGACUAUUAGUCGAGUCGGUCUUCGACUAUCCGUCGAGUCGUUCUUCGACUAUCCGUCGAGUCAUUCUUCGACUAUCCGCUGAGUCCUUCUUCGACUCUCUACAAAACAGCCUUUGUCUUUGUACUGGCUUGUGUUCUGGACUGCAAGCUGCUGAAUCUGUCUCAAAUCGUCAUUGAGUUCUGUUGGCUCUUCCAAAUAUCAUUUUGUGCUUGUUCUUCAAGCAAGAGACCACUGCUUUUAUUGGUGGUCACACCAUGCACGUGAAGACUUAAAGAUCCAACUCGUUCAUUUCUGCAACUUAUUUUUCAAACUCCAGCUGUGUUAUGUAAAAGCAUCUUGGGUUUGACGAGGAGUAUUAGAGUAUGUUUAUCUUAUUGAUAUGUCAUUACAAAUACAUAUUUGUAUAUGUAUGGAUAUAUAUCUCUUAGGUGUCACUUGAUUAUGAUAAGAUCAGUUAGUAGUUAUCCAUAAUUGCUGGUAUUUAUCUUUAAUUGUUACUGGCUGUAUAUUUAUACAAG